This is a long non-coding RNA of Gavialis gangeticus (Gharial), 467 nucleotides long. RefSeq lists it as uncharacterized. Lineage: Eukaryota; Metazoa; Chordata; Crocodylia; Gavialidae. The record is from RefSeq and is a predicted model, not a curated record. The transcript has 3 exons.
UUUGUGAAAAGGCCAUUUUUGAAAAGGAUUUUUCUCCCUGGGUAUAAAGAGAUCCUGCCUGCUUGUUAGAGACUUGUUAGAGUUUAUAAGACUGGGCAGGAGGCUAACUUGUAGAAAUACCUUUUAUGCCACUUGAAUGUGUGGCUUGCUUAUUAUAUUCUGCCAUCCUGCCAGGGUGGCUGGUGGAGAGGAGAGAAGAGAGCAGCGUUGCCAACUGGCUAUAAAUUUCAUGAACAUCAUAAAUCUAGUAUUCCAGGCUGCGCUCCCAAGCAGGAAGGCUACAAACCAGAGCUACAAAGUCACAAUUACAAGGGGAGGUCUCCAGUGAACCUUGGAGUCACCAUGUCCUACAGGGCCCCAGCAAGCUUUGUGUGGUGCAAUCAGCUCUCCAAAGUCAUAGGCCUGCCUUGUGGAAGAGUUGAUUUCAUCAUCACUGGAUCUCAACACCCCCCUCCAAGCCAUUACAG